GAUGAACGCUGGCGGCGUGCCUAAUACAUGCAAGUCGAGCGAACAGAUCAGGAGCUUGCUCCUUUGACGUUAGCGGCGGACGGGUGAGUAACACGUGGUUAACCUACCUAUAAGACUGGGAUAACUUCGGGAAACCGGAGCUAAUACCGGAUAAUAUUUCGAACCUCAUGGUUCGAUAGUGAAAGAUGGUUUUGCUAUCACUUAUAGAUGGACCCGCGCCGUAUUAGCUAGUUGGUAAGGUAACGGCUUACCAAGGCGACGAUACGUAGACGACCUGAGAGGGUGAUCGGACAGACUGGAACUGAGGCACGGUCCAGACUCCGACGGGAGGAAGCAGUAGGGAAUCUUCCGCGAUGGGGGAGAGCCUGACAGAGCAACGCCGCGUGAGUGAUGAAGGUCUUCGGAUCGUAAAACUCUGUUAUUAGGGAAGAACAUACGUGUAAGUAACUGUGCACGUCUUGACGGUACCUAGUCAGAAAGCCACGGCUAACUACGUG
This 497-nucleotide ribosomal RNA is filed under the name uncultured bacterium. RNAcentral's name for it is "partial 16S ribosomal RNA". It matches the Rfam family "Bacterial small subunit ribosomal RNA", at positions 28 to 507 of the family's 1533-position model. The record is from RNAcentral.